Molecule: transfer RNA, 72 nt
Filed under: Allomicrovenator marinus
Lineage: Bacteria; Deltaproteobacteria; Bradymonadales; Allomicrovenatoraceae
Description: Microvenator marinus tRNA
Rfam family: tRNA
About the family: Transfer RNA (tRNA) molecules are approximately 80 nucleotides in length. Their secondary structure includes four short double-helical elements and three loops (D, anti-codon, and T loops).
Source: Rfam by way of RNAcentral
GCCCUUGUAGCUCAGUGGUAGAGCACUUCCAUGGUAAGGAAGGGGUCACCGGUUCAAUCCCGGUCAAGGGCU